GGUAAAUUGUUCAAGUUUAUACCUCGUUCUACUUUCCGUCUAAAUAUAUCCCUACCGUUAGCAAAGUAGAUAAAAUUAUCCCUAACUCUAACAGAUGUCCAAUGUGGCAAUGGGACCCUCAAUUAAUCUGCCAACUAGAAAAAUAUCAACCCAAAUUUUAAAAGACAUAUGCCCAUUUCUUUGACCCAACUAUCCAGCCACCUUAUGGGUCACCUCCUCUCUUAAUUCAAGUAUUCAACCACAACUUUUCUUCUUCCUCGUUUCUUCUUUUCCAGUUCUUGAUCUUGUUCUUCCUUCUUUAUUCUUUUUCAUUUAUGGCUGGGAAAUCAUGUUUCAUGAUAAGGACAAAGAUAUAGAACAUGGAAAGAGAUAACUCGGGGAUGGAUCCCUCUUUCUAACCUUCCCCUCCAAAUAUUUGUGGGUCUCCUCAACCAUACUAAUCUAGUCAAGCAUCAAUCAAUAACAACCACAAAUAAAAUCCAAAAUAUGUAGAAAAAUUAGCUUAUGUGUGCACAUUAAACCAUUUGAGUCCCUGAAACAGAAAAGAAAAAGAAGAGAGCUCUCGUUCUCAUGAUUUGAUGGAAGAGAAAGAGAGCGGUCGAUGGCGGCGACUGCGGCAGCUUAGCCGUGGAGGAACGAAGAGGAGUGAGCAAUCGUCAGGCAGCGAGUCUUGCAAUUUCUCCGACGGCACUGAUUCGACGACCUCUUCAUUGUCAUCGUCGAUUUGUUUCCAGAUUUUGACCCAUUCAUUUGUGAUAGUUGGGUCGGACAUGGGUCUUUUAAUUUGGGUUGAUAUUUGUCCAGUUGGCAAAUUAAUUGAGGGGUCCAUUACCACGUUGGAGAUCUGUUAGGGUUAGGGAUGAUUUUAUCUACUUUGCUAACGGUAGGGAACUAAGUAUAACGGUGAACAAUUUAACAAAGUAGAGGUACUGGCCUUUUCCCAAUUAUGUAUUAGGGGUUUUAUUUUGUUGAAACUCGUUUGUGAAGUGUUAUACGUUAUUCUCGACUUAUUAAAAGUCAUGUUUUCAUGAAGUUUCGGAUUUUUGUGCAAUAUAUUGACAGCAUGGAAUAGAA
Long non-coding RNA from Nicotiana tabacum (common tobacco), 1074 nucleotides. RefSeq lists it as uncharacterized. The record is from RefSeq and is a predicted model, not a curated record. Lineage: Eukaryota; Viridiplantae; Streptophyta; Magnoliopsida; Solanales; Solanaceae.